RNAcentral lists this ribosomal RNA (629 nucleotides) under Escherichia coli. RNAcentral describes it as "partial 23S ribosomal RNA". It matches the Rfam family "Bacterial large subunit ribosomal RNA", at positions 2263 to 2886 of the family's 2925-position model. Lineage: Bacteria; Pseudomonadati; Pseudomonadota; Gammaproteobacteria; Enterobacterales; Enterobacteriaceae. The record is from RNAcentral.
GGGUAGUUUGACUGGGGCGGUCUCCUCCUAAAGAGUAACGGAGGAGCACGAAGGUUGGCUAAUCCUGGUCGGACAUCAGGAGGUUAGUGCAAUGGCAUAAGCCAGCUUGACUGCGAGCGUGACGGCGCGAGCAGGUGCGAAAGCAGGUCAUAGUGAUCCGGUGGUUCUGAAUGGAAGGGCCAUCGCUCAACGGAUAAAAGGUACUCCGGGGAUAACAGGCUGAUACCGCCCAAGAGUUCAUAUCGACGGCGGUGUUUGGCACCUCGAUGUCGGCUCAUCACAUCCUGGGGCUGAAGUAGGUCCCAAGGGUAUGGCUGUUCGCCAUUUAAAGUGGUACGCGAGCUGGGUUUAGAACGUCGUGAGACAGUUCGGUCCCUAUCUGCCGUGGGCGCUGGAGAACUGAGGGGGGCUGCUCCUAGUACGAGAGGACCGGAGUGGACGCAUCACUGGUGUUCGGGUUGUCAUGCCAAUGGCACUGCCCGGUAGCUAAAUGCGGAAGAGAUAAGUGCUGAAAGCAUCUAAGCACGAAACUUGCCCCGAGAUGAGUUCUCCCUGAGACUUUAAGUCUCCUGAAGGAACGUUGAAGACGACGACGUUGAUAGGCCGGGUGUGUAAGCGCAGCGAUGCGU